GCCUCAGUAGCUCAGGGGAUAGAGCAGCGGCCUUCUAAUCCGCCGGUCGGGGGUUCGAUUCCCUCCUGGGGCACCA
This 76-nucleotide transfer RNA is filed under the name Arthrobacter sp. Its description in RNAcentral is "tRNA-Arg". It matches the Rfam family "tRNA". From Rfam's summary of the family: Transfer RNA (tRNA) molecules are approximately 80 nucleotides in length. Their secondary structure includes four short double-helical elements and three loops (D, anti-codon, and T loops). RNAcentral also lists the same sequence under 36 other names. The record is from RNAcentral. Lineage: Bacteria; Bacillati; Actinomycetota; Actinomycetes; Micrococcales; Micrococcaceae.